Small nuclear RNA from Octopus sinensis (East Asian common octopus), 107 nucleotides. The record is from RefSeq and is a predicted model, not a curated record. NCBI's taxonomy places the organism in Eukaryota, Metazoa, Mollusca, Cephalopoda, Octopoda, Octopodidae.
ACCGCCAGAGUGAGAGAGUCUAUACUAAACAUGCAACAAUACAAAGGAGAUUGGCAUGGCCUUUGCGCAAGCAUGACACGCAAAUUUGUGAAGCGUUUCAUGUCUUC